UACGGGGGGGGCAAGCGUUGUUCGGAAUUACUGGGCGUAAAGGGCUCGUAGGUGGCCAACUAAGUCAGACGUGAGAUCCCUCGGCUUAACCGGGGAACUGCGUCUGAUACUGGAUGGCUUGAGUUCGGGAGAGGGAUGCGGAAUUCCAGGUGUAGCGGUGAAAUGCGUAGAUAUCUGGAGGAACACCGGUGGCGAAGGCGGCAUCCUGGACCGACACUGACGCUGAGGAGCGAAAGCCAGGGGAGCAAACGGG
This 253-nucleotide ribosomal RNA is filed under the name uncultured bacterium. Its description in RNAcentral is "partial 16S ribosomal RNA". It matches the Rfam family "Bacterial small subunit ribosomal RNA", at positions 524 to 776 of the family's 1533-position model. The record is from RNAcentral.